UACGUAGGGGGCUAGCGUUAUCCGGAAUUACUGGGCGUAAAGGGUGCGUAGGUGGUUUCUUAAGUCAGAGGUGAAAGGCUACGGCUCAACUGUAGUAAGCCUUUGAAACUGGGAAACUUGAGUGCAGGAGAGGAGAGUGGAAUUCCUAGUGUAGCGGUGAAAUGCGUAGAUAUUAGGAGGAACACCAGUUGCGAAGGCGGCUCUCUGGACUGUAACUGACACUGAGGCACGAAAGCGUGGGGAGCAAACAGGAUUAGAUACCCGGGUAGUUCCCUGAGCGGG
Molecule: ribosomal RNA, 282 nt
Filed under: uncultured prokaryote
Description: partial 16S ribosomal RNA
Rfam family: Bacterial small subunit ribosomal RNA
Source: RNAcentral